AUGAUCGUCGCGGCUGCACACAAGAACAACUCUCUCCUCAACAUGCGCCUCAUCCGCUGCUUCCGCCGUUUCAUGGCUGACAUGGAGCUUAGGGAUUUGUAUCUUCAUGGUAGGCGGUACACCUGGGCUAGAGAGCGCGAGAACCCAACCUUGGUCAGGAUUGACAGGGUGUUAUGCACCACUAUUGGGAGUCCACCUUUCCUAGCUGCCUCAUGCGCUGCCUAUCUUUCGCUGCUUCAGACCACUUGCCUCUCAUGCUUGACUGCACCCCGCGCUCUCCAGGUGUACAUCGCUUUCACUUCGAGAAGUUUUGGCCUCAUAUGGCAGGCUUCAUGUAGGUGGUCUCCAAUGCCUGGUCCGCCACAUGCACCUCCUGACCCCGACCUGUUCAGCCGGAUCUUUGACUGGCUCCGCCUCACUGCCAGUCGUCUGCAAAGCUGGAGCGCCAAGUCCAUUGGCAACGUGUCCCUACAUCUCCUGGUCGCAUGCGAGCUCAUAGCGCGUCUCGACGUGGCCCAGGACAGCAGACCACUUACCAGCUAA
RNAcentral lists this ribosomal RNA (543 nucleotides) under Triticum aestivum (bread wheat). RNAcentral's name for it is "partial small subunit ribosomal RNA". The record is from RNAcentral. Lineage: Eukaryota; Viridiplantae; Streptophyta; Magnoliopsida; Poales; Poaceae.